RNAcentral lists this ribosomal RNA (780 nucleotides) under uncultured bacterium. Its description in RNAcentral is "bacterial SSU rRNA". It matches the Rfam family "Bacterial small subunit ribosomal RNA", at positions 8 to 783 of the family's 1533-position model. The record is from RNAcentral.
AGAGUUUGAUCCUGGCUCAGGAUGAACGCUAGCGGCAGGCUUAACACAUGCAAGUCGAGGGGCAGCGAGGGUAGCAAUACCUGUCGGCGACCGGCGCAAGGGUGCGUAACGCGUGAGCAACAUGCCCGUAUCAGGGGGAUAAUCCAGGGAAACUUGGUCUAAUACCCCAUAGUAAUCGUUUAAGGCAUCUUAAAUGAUUUAAAGCUUUGGUGGAUACGGAUUGGCUCGCGUGACAUUAGUUAGAUGGUAGGGUAACGGCUUACCAUGACUAUGAUGUCUAGGGGUUCUGAGAGGAAGGUCCCCCACACUGGAACUGAGACACGGUCCAGACUCCUACGGGAGGCAGCAGUGAGGAAUAUUGGACAAUGGAUGGAAAUCUGAUCCAGCCAUGCCGCGUGCAGGAAGAAUGUCCUAUGGAUUGUAAACUGCUUUUGUAUGGGAGCAAUAAGGUCUUCGUGAAGGCCGAUGAGAGUACCAUACGAAUAAGCACCGGCUAACUCCGUGCCAGCAGCCGCGGUAAUACGGAGGGUGCAAGCGUUAUCCGGAUUUAUUGGGUUUAAAGGGUGCGUAGGCGGUUAUAUAAGUCAGCGGUGAAAUUUUUCGGCUCAACCGGAAACAUGCCGUUGAUACUGUAUAGCUUGAAUAUGGUUGCUGUGAGUGGAAUGUGUAGUGUAGCGGUGAAAUGCUUAGAUAUUACACAGAAUAUCGAUUGCGAAGGCAACUCACAAAGCCAUUAUUGACGCUGAGGCACGAAAGUGUGGGGAUCAAACAGGAUUAGAU